RNAcentral lists this ribosomal RNA (253 nucleotides) under uncultured bacterium. RNAcentral's name for it is "partial 16S ribosomal RNA". It matches the Rfam family "Bacterial small subunit ribosomal RNA", at positions 524 to 776 of the family's 1533-position model. The record is from RNAcentral.
UACAGAGGGUGCAAGCGUUAAUCGGAAUGACUGGGCGUAAAGGGCGCGUAGGUGGAUACGUAAGUAAAUUGUGAAAGACCCGGGCUUAACCUGGGAAGGUCAAUUUAAACGGGGUAUCUAGAGUGGAGUAGAGGGAAGUAGAAUUUCCGGUGUAGCGGUGAAAUGCGUAGAUAUCGGAAGGAAUACCGGUGGCGAAGGCGUCUUCCUGGACUCUAACUGACACUGAGGCGCGAAAGCAUGGGGAUCAAACAGG